This 360-nucleotide ribosomal RNA is filed under the name uncultured bacterium. RNAcentral describes it as "partial 16S ribosomal RNA". It matches the Rfam family "Bacterial small subunit ribosomal RNA", at positions 338 to 696 of the family's 1533-position model. The record is from RNAcentral.
CCUACGGGUGGCAGCAGUGAGGAAUAUUGGGCAAUGGCCGGAAGGCUGAACCAGCCAAGCCGCGUGAAGGACGAAGGUGCCAAGCAUUGUAAACUUCUUUUGUCAAGGGACAAAAUCAGGCGCGAGAGCCUGACCGAGGGUACUUUAAGAAAAAGCAUCGGCUAACUCCGUGCCAGCAGCCGCGGUAAUAGGGAGGAUGCGAGCGUUAUCCGGAUUUAUUGGGGUGAAAGGGAGCGGAGGCGGGCUGUUAAGUCAGCGGUAAAAGCCCGGGGCUCAACCCCGGCGAGCAGUUGAAACUGGCUGUCUUGAGAUGUCGAGAGGGAAGCGGAAUGCGAAGUGUAGCGGUGAAAUGCUUAGAUA